ACGAUCGAUACUCCUAUGCUAGCCUCUGACUCCUCAGGGGAGACAGCAGAGUGGUCGGACGAAACGCAACGAGUCGUCUCCAGCCCAAAGGCGACUCCACACCAUCCCAGCUGAAGACAGGCACGGGACUGAACCAGCUGGUGGUGGCCCAAUGGCUGGAGACACCCACUGCCCCGCAGAGCCCCUGGCCAGAGAAGGCACUCUAUGGGAGGCCCUCAGGGCGCUCCUGCCGCACAGUAAAGAAGACCUGAAGUUGGACCUCGGGGAGAAAGUGGAGAGGAGCAUGGUGACGUUGUUGCAGCGAGCCACUGAGCUCUUCUACGAGGGCAGGAGGGACGAGUGUCUGCAGACCAGCGAGGUGAUCCUGGACUACUCCUGGGAGAAGCUCAACACAGGCACGUGGCAGGACGUAGACAAAGACUGGCGCCGGGUCUACGCUAUCGGCUGCCUCCUGAAAGCCCUGUGUCUGUGCCAGGCACCUGAGGAUGCCAGCACUGUGGCCGCAGCCCUGCGGGUCUGUGACAUGGGCCUGCUGAUGGGGGCAGCCAUCCUGGGGGACAUCCUCCUUAAAGUCGCUGCCAUCCUCCAGACACACCUCCCUGGAAAGAGGCCUGCCCAUGGCUCCAUCCCGGAGCAACCCUGCACAAAGGCAGUGCCCUUUCAGCAGAGAGGCAGCAGAGAAACUUCGUGGUUCCUGAGGGAAACAGCUUAAAGCGAUUGUAAAGCAAGGGCGGACCAUGGUUUGAUUCCAGAUGUGAAGUUAGAAACAACAGUCCCCC
This 779-nucleotide small RNA is filed under the name Pongo abelii (Sumatran orangutan). RNAcentral describes it as "processed transcript". Lineage: Eukaryota; Metazoa; Chordata; Mammalia; Primates; Hominidae. The record is from RNAcentral.